AAGGAUCAUUACCAUUAUAGACCCACGGGGGAGGGCUUUCCGACAUUAAUUCCAGGACAGCCAGUGGAUGUACGGUUCCACUGGCUGGGGCGGAACACGAGGGAGAAUAUGCAAGCCGUUAGCUACUCGGAGCGCUGUUCAACCGCCGCCAUUCGAGCCCGAACCUGAACCCCACCCUUGCUUUUUGCGCACCCAUUGUUUCCUCGGCAGGCUUGCCUGCCAGCAGGACCCCAUCCAACCCUUUGUAGUUGCAGUCAGCGUCAGAAAACAACGUAAUCGUUACAACUUUCAACAACGGAUCUCUUGGUUCUG
Molecule: unclassified non-coding RNA, 312 nt
Filed under: uncultured fungus
Lineage: Eukaryota; Fungi
Description: partial contains 18S rRNA, ITS1, 5.8S rRNA, ITS2 and 28S rRNA
Source: RNAcentral